AGUGGGGAAUAUUGGACAAUGGGCGCAAGCCUGAUCCAGCAAUACCGCGUGUGUGAAGAAGGCCUGAGGGUUGUAAAGCACUUUCAAUUGGGAGGAAUACCUAGCCGUUAAUAUCGGCUAGAUUGACAUUACCUUUAGAAGAAGCACCGGCUAACUCCGUGCCAGCAGCCGCGGUAAUACGGAGGGUGCAAGCGUUAAUCGGAAUUACUGGGCGUAAAGCGUGCGUAGGCGGCCUUUUAAGUUAGAUGUGAAAGCCCCGGGCUCAACCCGGGAACGGCAUUUAAAACUGGAGGGCUAGAGUUUGGGAGAGGGAAGUGGAAUUUCAGGUGUAGCGGUGAAAUGCGUAGAGAUCUGAAGGAACACCAGUGGCGAAGGCGGCUUCCUGGACCAGAACUGACGCUGAGGCACGAAAGCAUGGGUAGCAAACAGGAUUAGAUACCCUGGUAGUCCAUGCCGUAAACGAUGUCAACUAACUGUUGGGUUCUUUUUGAACUUAGUGGUGGAGCUAACGUAUUAAG
RNAcentral lists this ribosomal RNA (518 nucleotides) under uncultured bacterium. RNAcentral's name for it is "bacterial SSU rRNA". It matches the Rfam family "Bacterial small subunit ribosomal RNA", at positions 353 to 864 of the family's 1533-position model. The record is from RNAcentral.